UGUAAGUCUAUCCGUGCUGGGAGCUCGGUCUUCAGCCUUGGUGAACAUAGAUCUAUCCGAGCUGAGAGCGAGGCCUCUGGCUCUGUAGCUAAACUUUUAUUGUUAGCAUCUAUUUUGAGAUCGGCGCUUUUUUAGCUAUUAGGCCUUGCGCCUUUUUAGUAGGUCGGAAUCUGACUAUCCGAGCUGGAAGUUCGGCUUCUUCCUUCGUACCUUGAGUUUUUGAGAAGAUAA
This 231-nucleotide long non-coding RNA is filed under the name Manihot esculenta (cassava). RNAcentral describes it as "long non-coding RNA (MESC_LNC000526)". The record is from RNAcentral. Lineage: Eukaryota; Viridiplantae; Streptophyta; Magnoliopsida; Malpighiales; Euphorbiaceae.